UACGUAGGGGGCAAGCGUUGUCCGGAAUCAUUGGGCGUAAAGAGCGCGUAGGCGGUCCGGUAAGUCCGCUCUGAAAGUCCGGGGCUCAACCCCGGGAGGCGGGCGGAUACUGCCGGGCUAGAGUCCGGAAGAGGCGAGUGGAAUUCCUGGUGUAGCGGUGAAAUGCGUAGAUAUUGGGAGGAACACCAGUGGCGAAGGCGGUCCCCUGGGCCGGAACUGACGCUGAGGCGCGAAAGCGUGGGUAGCAAACGGG
Molecule: ribosomal RNA, 253 nt
Filed under: uncultured bacterium
Lineage: Bacteria
Description: partial 16S ribosomal RNA
Rfam family: Bacterial small subunit ribosomal RNA
Source: RNAcentral